CAUGCAAGUCGAACGGUAGCACAGAGAGCUUGCUCUUGGGUGACGAGUGGCGGACGGGUGAGUAAUGUCUGGGAAACUGCCCGAUGGAGGGGGAUAACCACUGGAAACGGUGGCUAAUACCGCAUAAUCUCGCGAGAGCAAAGUGGGGGACCUUCUGGCCUCACGCCAUCGGAUGUGCCCAGAUGGGAUUAGCUUGUUGGUGGGGUAAAGGCUCACCAAGGCGACGAUCCCUAGCUGGUCUGAGAGGAUGACCAGCCACACUGGAACUGAGACACGGUCCAGACUCCUACGGGAGGCAGCAGUGGGGAAUAUUGCACAAUGGGCGCAAGCCUGAUGCAGCCAUGCCGCGUGUAUGAAGAAGGCCUUCGGGUUGUAAAGUACUUUCAGCGGGGAGGAAGGUGAUGAGGUUAAUAACCGUAUCAAUUGACGUUACCCGCAGAAGAAGCACCGGCUAACUCCGUGCCAGCAGCCGCGGUAAUACGGAGGGUGCAAGCGUU
This 497-nucleotide ribosomal RNA is filed under the name Erwinia sp. A88tronco1. Its description in RNAcentral is "bacterial SSU rRNA". It matches the Rfam family "Bacterial small subunit ribosomal RNA", at positions 54 to 542 of the family's 1533-position model. The record is from RNAcentral. Lineage: Bacteria; Pseudomonadati; Pseudomonadota; Gammaproteobacteria; Enterobacterales; Erwiniaceae.